UACGGAGGGAGCGAGCGUUAUCCGGAAUUAUUGGGCGUAAAGGGUGCGUAGAUGGUUGAUAUAAGUCUUUUGUAAAAAUGCUAGGCUCAACCUAGUAGGGCAAAAGAUACUGAUGAACUAGAGUACGGCAGAGGCAAGUGGAACUCCAUGUGUAGCGGUGGAAUGCGUAGAUAUAUGGAAGAACACCAGUGGCGAAGGCGGCUGUCUGGUCUGCAACUGACGCUGAGGCUCGAAAGCAUGGGUAGCGAACAGG
Molecule: ribosomal RNA, 253 nt
Filed under: uncultured bacterium
Lineage: Bacteria
Description: partial 16S ribosomal RNA
Rfam family: Bacterial small subunit ribosomal RNA
Source: RNAcentral